RNAcentral lists this long non-coding RNA (432 nucleotides) under Equus caballus (horse). RNAcentral's name for it is "lncRNA (ENSECAG00000044047.1)". The record is from RNAcentral. Lineage: Eukaryota; Metazoa; Chordata; Mammalia; Perissodactyla; Equidae.
GAGAGAAAGGCCAGACAAGGAGAAAUGGUAUGAUGUUAUGAAAACCGUGGUUAAGAAUCUGACGAAAGAGAGAGCAUCCAAGAAGGAAGAUAACAGAGCUGGUGUUUGCUGCCUCAAACACCUGCAAUCACACUGUGUGGUCUUAAGGAAGAAAAACCCAGAGAAAGGAAAAGACCAAUGUAAUUAACACAUGGUCAAGAGCCAAGGUUCCUCUUCCCUGACAAGUUUGACGGGGGGAGCAAAAUUAAUGUCCACCAGGUUGAAUGAGGCAAAACAGUCUAAGAGAAGGUCACAGCAGGACUAAAGAUGUGGAGAGAAGUGAUAGCCAGCCUGUGAGGCUGGGGCUGCUCAGCCCUUAAGCUCUCAACCAUGAGAGACACCCAUCUUGAUGGUGUUAAUGAAGGAGGGCAAAGAUCCAGCUUGGGGUCUGAG